CCAGCUCAUCAACACUACAAAUCUAAAGCUGAAAGCUCAGGGUACGGUAAUGACAGAUGGAAACUUCAUUACAGAAAGCAAUGAAGAACACCCAAGUGGUAAAUAUGUGGGUAAAUAUGGAAUAUCAGAUAUCUAUUUUUAUCUUACUUUAAAAAAAGAAAACUGUUUUUCAAUAGCAAAAUAACAGCUAGUGCUUAUUGAGAUAUUUCAAUGUUAUUAUGUCAUUUCACACACAUUAAUCCACUUAAUUCUCAUAAUAAACCUCUUUUAUAGAACAUUAUCUCAACAGCUGCAAAAUAUGCAUUCUUCUUUUUGUUUUUUUUAAAAACAAGGUCUUGCUCUGUUGCCUAGGCUAGAUUGCAGUGGCAUGAUGAUUGCUCACUGCAGUCUCAAACUCCUGGGCUCAAGCAAUCCUCCUGCCUCAGCCUCCCAAGUAGCUAGGAAUACAGGUGCGUACCACCAUGCCAGACAAUUUUUAUUUUUUGUAGAGAUGAGGUCUCACCAUGUUGCCCACAUUAUUCUUAAAAGCAUAUGGAAUGUUCACCAAAAUGUAUCAUAUCCUGAGCCAUGAAACAAGUCUGAAUACAUUUCUAGUAAUAAAAUCUUACAGAGUAUUUUUUCAGACUUUAACAGAAUCAAAAUAGAAAUCAGUAACAAGAAAACUUCUUUAUUCUUUUUAUUUUAUUUUAAGUUCUGGGAUACAUGUGCAGGACGUGCAAGUUUGUUAAUAGGUAAAUGUGUGCUAUGGUGGUUUGCUGCACCUGUCAACCCCUCAUCUAGGUAUUAAGCCCAGCAUGCAUUAACUAUUUUUCCUGGGGCUCUCUCUGGCCCUGCAACCGCCGGCAGGCCCCAUUGUGUGUUGUUCCCCUCCCUGUGUCCAUGUGCUCUCAUUGUUCAGCUCCCACUUAUAAGUGAGAACAUGUAGUGAAAACUUCUUUAUUCUCAUCAAAAAUUUCAGUAAGAUGUAUCUGCUAUGAGUUUCUCCUCACAACUUCUGCUAGGGUUUCAGUGGACUUGUGUUCUCUAUUUUCUUUGUCUCUUAACCUUU
Molecule: long non-coding RNA, 1048 nt
Filed under: Homo sapiens (human)
Lineage: Eukaryota; Metazoa; Chordata; Mammalia; Primates; Hominidae
Description: HSALNT0356959
Source: RNAcentral